This 607-nucleotide ribosomal RNA is filed under the name uncultured bacterium. RNAcentral describes it as "bacterial SSU rRNA". The stretch from base 1 to 530 matches the Rfam family "Bacterial small subunit ribosomal RNA", at positions 338 to 873 of the family's 1533-position model. The record is from RNAcentral.
CCUACGGGAGGCAGCAGUAAGGAAUAUUGGUCAAUGGACGAAAGUCUGAACCAGCCAUGCCGCGUGAAGGAUGAAGGUCCUCUGGAUUGUAAACUUCUUUUAUCUGGGACGAAAAAAGGGAAUUCUUUCUCACUUGACGGUACCAGAGGAAUAAGCACCGGCUAACUCCGUGCCAGCAGCCGCGGUAAUACGGAGGGUGCAAGCGUUAUCCGGAUUCACUGGGUUUAAAGGGAGCGUAGGUGGGUCUGUAAGUCAGUGGUGAAAUCUCCGAGCUUAACUCGGAAACUGCCAUUGAUACUAUAGAUCUUGAAUUAUCUGGAGGUAAGCGGAAUAUGUCAUGUAGCGGUGAAAUGCUUAGAUAUGACAUAGAACACCAAUUGCGAAGGCAGCUUACUACGGAUAUAUUGACACUGAGGCUCGAAAGCGUGGGGAUCAAACAGGAUUAGAUACCCUGGUAGUCCACGCCCUAAACGAUGGAUACUCGACAUCAGCGAUACACUGUUGGUGUCUGAGAGAGANAUAUAUCCACCGNGAGACGACGACGAGUAGAAGACGAAGAAGUAGACGACGNGAGACGACGACGACGGACGACGACGAGGGGAGGAGG